AUGGUGAACGCCAGAAUGGAGCCUUCUGGAUCCUCCAGUCCUUCGGACCUAAUAGACUUUCUGACUGAUUUAGGAAUAAGAGACGUGACCUGUGAAACUGGAGACAGCUUAGGAGGGGCGGGUGGCCUGCUGACACCUUCAGAAACCCCCCAGACUGAAACCAUGACUCCCCUUCCAUUCUUGGGCCUGGAAGACAUAGACCUCCUCCAGGGUAGCUUGGAGGGCGUUGGCUGGAGCAGAGGUGAAACGGCCUCCGAGAAACCUUCUCCGCCGCUGGCUCAGAGCCGUGCUGAGGAAUUCCACCCUGGAACUUGCCCUUCUUCAGAGCACCUGGAGAUUGUGCAGCCUAGGAGGGAAACAUCUCAGCAGCCGCCGGAAAAUCCAAAGAGCCUGGACAACAGCAGCCAUGAUGCCACCAAGGCUCUCUUCUCAGCCAGCAUCCUCCAAGCUGAGCUAUGCUUCCUGGACCUGCAAGGGGCGAUUGACCGGCAGACGGAGCCACUGAGGAGUUCCUCCCCUAGCCUUGAGAAGGUUCUGGGGACGCCCACCUCGCAGGACUUGGCCACCUCCCAUGAGCCUUUGCUCCUGGAGAGCGAUAGUGGGGAGGAGCCGGAGGAGGACUCAGAGAGGCAGGAGGAUGAUGAUGAUGAAGGCUCACUGGAGGAGGAAGAGGAAGAAGAGGAGGAGGUGGAAUGCUUGUUUUACGACAACCCGCUCUUUUGCGCGAGUCCAAGAACCACCAGCUCCGAAGGACCAUCUCUCUUGGGUCGCAUGGAAGAAAAGGCCUUCAAGGAAGAUGGGGAAGGAAUCCCCACCUGCGGUCUGACCUCUAGGGAUUGUGACCACGGCCUGCCGUGCCAGACAGGUGUGGCAAUGAGCCUUGCGGCCACGGACUCUGAGCCUGCGCCUGAGCCAGAUCCUGGUGGUAACCCGUCCCCAGGCCCUUACCCAAGCUACGUGCCUCAUUACCGCUCCUUGUCUCCCCUGGUGAUCACGGAAGGGGAGCUGGAUAGUGCCUGCCCGGUGGAAGAGGAGGAGAGGGAGCUGCCUCCUUGCUUUGCUCCCUUGUCGGAUGCGUCAAAGGAGGUCCAAGGCUUCUUCCCAGACCAGCCGGACCACACACCCUCCAGCAGUGAUUUGGACCAGAUGACUCCCCCCGGUGAGUCAUAA
This 1170-nucleotide long non-coding RNA is filed under the name Podarcis muralis (Common wall lizard). Its description in RNAcentral is "lncRNA (ENSPMRG00000012415.1)". Lineage: Eukaryota; Metazoa; Chordata; Lepidosauria; Squamata; Lacertidae. The record is from RNAcentral.